Molecule: ribosomal RNA, 468 nt
Filed under: uncultured bacterium
Lineage: Bacteria
Description: partial 16S ribosomal RNA
Rfam family: Bacterial small subunit ribosomal RNA
Source: RNAcentral
GACGAACGCUGGCGGCGUGCUUAACACAUGCAAGUCGAACGGAAAGGCCCUGCUUUUGUGGGGUGCUCGAGUGGCGAACGGGUGAGUAACACGUGAGUAACCUGCCCUUGACUUUGGGAUAACUUCAGGAAACUGGGGCUAAUACCGGAUAGGAGCUCCUGCUGCAUGGUGGGGGUUGGAAAGUUUCGGCGGUUGGGGAUGGACGAGCGGCUUAUCAGCUUGUUGGUGGGGUAGUGGCUUACCAAGGCUUUGACGGGUAGCCGGCCUGAGAGGGUGACCGGCCACAUUGGGACUGAGAUACGGACCAGACUCCUACGGGAGGCAGCAGUGGGGAAUAUUGCACAGUGGGCGGAAGCCGGAUGCAGCAACGCCGCGUGCGGGAUGACGGCCUUCGGGUUGUAAACCGCUUUCGCCUGUGACGAAGCGUGAGUGACGGUAAUGGGUAAAGAAGCACCGGCUAACUACGUG